GACGUAGGGGGCGCGCGUUGUCCGGAUUUAUUGGGCGUAACGAGCGCGUAGGCGGCCCGGCAAGUCGGAUGUGAAAACCCGGGGCUCAACCCCGGGCCUGCAUCCGAUACUCCCGGGCUGGAGGCAGGUAGGGGAGAUCGGAAUUCCUGGUGUAGCGGUGAAAUGCGCAGAUAUCAGGAGGAACACCGGUGGCGAAGGCGGAUCUCUGGGACGGUACUGACGCUGAGACGCGAAAGCGUGGGGAGCAAACAGG
RNAcentral lists this ribosomal RNA (253 nucleotides) under uncultured bacterium. RNAcentral describes it as "partial 16S ribosomal RNA". It matches the Rfam family "Bacterial small subunit ribosomal RNA", at positions 524 to 776 of the family's 1533-position model. The record is from RNAcentral.